This 358-nucleotide ribosomal RNA is filed under the name uncultured bacterium. RNAcentral describes it as "bacterial SSU rRNA". It matches the Rfam family "Bacterial small subunit ribosomal RNA", at positions 8 to 334 of the family's 1533-position model. The record is from RNAcentral.
AGGGUUCGAUCCUGGCUCAGGACGAACGCUGGCGGCGUGCCUAACACAUGCAAGUCGAACGGAGAGAAUCGGUGAAACAGAGAGAAGCUUGCUUCAGGAAGUUUCUUGAUUAUCUUAGUGGCGGACGGGUGAGUAACGCGUGGGCAAUCUGCCUUUUACAGGGGGAUAACACAGGGAAACCUGUGCUAAUACCGCAUAAGACCACGGUAUGGCAUCAUACAGAGGUCAAAGGAGAAAUCCGGUAAAAGAUGAGCCCGCGUCUGAUUAGCUAGUUGGUAAGGUAACGGCUUACCAAGGCGACGAUCAGUAGCCGAACUGAGAGGUUGAACGGCCACAUUGGGACUGAGACACGGCCCAG